GGUGGAAUAGCCAAGUGGUAAGGCACAGCUCUGCAAAAGCUGCAAACGCAGGUUCGAUUCCCGCUUCCACCUCCC
This 75-nucleotide transfer RNA is filed under the name Terrimicrobium sacchariphilum. RNAcentral describes it as "tRNA-Cys". It matches the Rfam family "tRNA". Rfam says of the family: Transfer RNA (tRNA) molecules are approximately 80 nucleotides in length. Their secondary structure includes four short double-helical elements and three loops (D, anti-codon, and T loops). Further hydrogen bonds mediate the characteristic L-shaped molecular structure. tRNAs have two regions of fundamental functional importance: the anti-codon, which is responsible for specific mRNA codon recognition, and the 3' end, to which the tRNAs corresponding amino acid is attached (by aminoacyl-tRNA synthetases). tRNAs cope with the degeneracy of the genetic code in two manners: having more than one tRNA (with a specific anti-codon) for a particular amino acid; and 'wobble' base-pairing, i.e. permitting non-standard base-pairing at the 3rd anti-codon position. Lineage: Bacteria; Pseudomonadati; Verrucomicrobiota; Terrimicrobiia; Terrimicrobiales; Terrimicrobiaceae. The record is from RNAcentral.